UCCGUAGGUGGCCCGCGUUGUCCGGCUUUACUGGGCGUAAAGUUAGCGUAGGCGGAUACUUAAGUGGGAUGUGAAAUACCUGGGCUUAACUUGGGUGCUGCAUUCCAAACUGGGUGUCUAGAGUGUUGGAGAGGAAAGUGGAAUUCCUAGUGUAGCGGUGAAAUGCGUAGAGAUUAGGGAGAACACCAGUGGCGAAGGCGACUUUCUGGACAAUAACUGACGCUGAGGCUCGAAAGCGUGGGGAGCAAACAGGAUUAGAUACCCUGGUAGUCCACGCCGUAAACGAUGGGUACUAGGUGUAGGAGGUAUCGACUCCUCCUGUGCCGCCGUUAACACAAUAAGUACCCCGCCUGGGGAGUACGGUCGCAAGAUUAAA
Molecule: ribosomal RNA, 376 nt
Filed under: uncultured bacterium
Lineage: Bacteria
Description: bacterial SSU rRNA
Rfam family: Bacterial small subunit ribosomal RNA
Source: RNAcentral